CAACCCCUUGUUACUUGUUUAAGUGUUUUGACUAAUUUGUUCAUUCAGGGGUAUCAUCUCUGCAUGUGCUAUUUGCUUUUGCAGUGCACCUCUUGUCUUCUUUAUAUGUUAAAUGUAGCCAUAUUUUGAAGAUAUGUUUUUAGUUAAUUAGGCUUUGAGAGAGAGCUGUUUUUAAAGGAGUUUCCACUUUCACACUCAGAUCAAAUAUGCAACAAAACAAACAAUUACACUCUUAGGUGAACACACAAAUAAUAUGCUUAUAUGUUUCCA
Molecule: non-coding RNA, 270 nt
Organism: Pelobates cultripes (western spadefoot toad)
Lineage: Eukaryota; Metazoa; Chordata; Amphibia; Anura; Pelobatidae
Source: the annotation of a GenBank genome assembly